Molecule: long non-coding RNA, 2086 nt
Filed under: Parus major (Great Tit)
Lineage: Eukaryota; Metazoa; Chordata; Aves; Passeriformes; Paridae
Description: lncRNA (ENSPMJG00000001124.1)
Source: RNAcentral
GGGACUUGGGACUGGCCAUGACAUGGAAAUAUUGCGUGUAGUUAAGAUCUGCACACUCCAGUGAGAUAGUUAAUGUGGUUAAAAUCAAUGGGCUGUGCUAAUUUACCUCAGCUGAAGCCUGCAUUUCACAUGGCUUUUCAGUUCUUCUUUUAAACUCUAUUAAUUCCAGUGUUUAAUUGCAAACAAACUAGAUGAUGGAUCAGUUAAAGAAAAAUAUACUGUAAAUGGUCAAGGAUUUAGCCUGUGCUAUCUCUAUGAUUCCCAUGCAGAUCUUUCAGACCAGUUAUUUGCAUAUGUUAAAAUCUAAUUUGAAUUGUUCAUCACAUAGAACUAGGUAAGUUUUGGGGUUUUUUUAAUGAGAGAUGUAACUUCAGGGCACUAUUAAAUUCUAAUUAAAAAUCAGUCAAAAGCACCCUUUUCUUAGUGUUUGUGCCUGCAGCAACACUUCCACUGUGGUAUCAAAAGCUCAGUUCAUUACUUCUUAAUUAAUUUUGCCUUGAGAAGCUCUAAGUUCUCAGAGGACCUGUUGGGUUUUUAGAGUGUUGUCUACAUAGUGUUUGCUUGUACACAGCAGCCACAAUGACAUUCAGAUCAGGAAUCCUUACCCAUGUAAUCCAAUUUGGUACAAUGUCUGCAGCCUGCCAGCUUUUGGGAACCUGAAAGAUGCCUGAAGUUCACAACACAGAGGAUAUCUUGCCUGGAGCUACUGGUAUGGUAGGGAUUUUCCCAUCUCUCUAUUCCCAGUGUGUCUGUUUUAUAGUUGAAAAGGUUGGUAUACAAGUUGAUUGAUUUUUUUGUGUGUGUUUUGGGGUUUUUUUUGGUUUUUUUUGUGUCAUUUUUAUUUUUAUUUUUUUUAUUUUUUUUAAGGAAGAUCAUGAUGAAUAGAAAACUAGUCUUGCUCCUGUCCCCAAAGAAAUCUUGUCUGAAGUACUUGAGUCAGCCAAGACUUUUUCCCUCUACCAGGCUACUGGAGAUGUGCAUGUUUGUUUUUUUUUCAAGAUAAGUAUCCUGCAAUCCAGAUCUCCCACUGCAAAUGAUUCAUUUCCCCUCUUGGCCCAGCUGUGUGCGCACGUGUGUGGUGGUGGUGAGCCAGAGCUGACCAGUGCCCUGGGACAAAGAGAGGAAAAGAAGAGGUUUUCUAUGCAGUUGUUUCAUAAUUUGCUGCCAGAUCCCAGAAACUGCAGAACGGACACAGACAGAAGCUCAAGAAGAAAUUCUUUCACUGAGCAAGGAUGCAUUGGCUCCCACCUGAUAUCCAGGAAAACUGCACAGGAACAGUGAACCUCACCCUCUGCAGGGAAUCUGGAAGAGGAGCACAGGCUGCAUGCAAGCUGCCUCUCUGCUUCUCCCAUCUCUGGACAGCAGCUCAGGGCCAGGGUUAGUUUCCCUGGAGUUACACUCCUUGAGGCAGUAUUAGAAAGCCUCACCUGCAUGGUUUUGCCCCACAUAAUCCCCAGCCAAAUCCUUUUCUUUAACAGAAUUAAAGAAAAUUAUUUGAACUGCACCUCUAUGUUUCCUGCACCUACACACAGUGUUUAUGGUUCAGCUGGAGAAGAAGAAGUUCAACAAAUGGUCAGUUAAAUUAAACUAGAAAAAGGAUAGCCAGUGGGAGCAGGGAAGAUAAGGAAAGGCUCUAUUGGAGAUGGUACACUGUGGUAUCCCAGCUAAUCCAGAUGCUGAUGGAGCUGGUGAUGGCUGUUCUGUGCCCUACAGAAGCACAGAAAUAGGUGGCCAGGAGUCACCUGUUCCAAGAGUCUCCCCUCUAUUUUGGAUUCAGUUCUGAGUCUAAUGUCCACUGCUGCUCAGUGAGUGUGCACAUUUCAUCAGUGUUCGUGCCAUUUCCCAUGCCUGUCACCCACCCCAGACAUGUGGGCCACCCUGCAGCAGACACUCCAGCUUGUGGAGACUCUUGGGCCAAAGAAGUGUCCUGAGUCCUUCAGGAUGCUGAAGUAAAGCUGCAGCAUUGGCAGAAGCCCUGGUGUGACAGCUCCAGCCUCCGAGGGGAUCCAUGCUCUCCUCUACCUGCAUUAGCCUUAUAUAAUGUUUCAGCUGCAGCUAGUGUGACACUGGCACCUUUGUGUCACCG